Molecule: long non-coding RNA, 502 nt
Organism: Lolium rigidum
Lineage: Eukaryota; Viridiplantae; Streptophyta; Magnoliopsida; Poales; Poaceae
Exons: 3
Source: RefSeq, a predicted model, not a curated record
GCAGAGCAUCUUACCGGCGGGAGGAGAUGGAUCCCGCCUAGCUGCUCCCACAUCAGAUCGCCGACGUUCUUGCAGACUGACCGGCGCCGCCAACUACUUCCGUUCUGAUCUCCGAAGCUACUCUACAGUUGGAAGCUUUGGUUGGUAACCUAGAAGAUGCAACAUUUUCCAUCGUUAGACAGGCCUCGAAGUUGAACCUGUCAUCAGUACUUCGACGGGCAUCAAAUCGUUUCAGUUUCCAAAAGCCUUCGUAGCCACUGCUCCCGUCUACGUCUACUGUCACACAUGUCGCUGCAAUUUCUACCAGUGAUGGCACCUGUGAUGUGUGCUCGCGUCUGAUGUUGGUCAAAAGACUGUUUGUUGUUGACUGGUGUAACCUGUUAUGAUAUUUUGUAGUGUCAUGGUUGCUCAGAAGUUGCAAGGUUCACAUGUUAUGUUGUCUGUGAUGAGAAUUGUGACAACAUGAGUUCCUUUUCACUGUAUCCUGGAUUUUGGACUUUCA